UUUCAUUUUCCCAUUUUUUUUCUCUUCUUCUGAUGAUAAGUUUGAACUAAUGUUGAUUUUUCCCCCUAGUAGAGAUGCUGAACAUAGAUUGAGAGUGUUAAUACUCGAAAACAAGUUUAGCAAACUGAUAUGAAUCCUCAAUCCUUUUGUUAGUGAGGUGGUUUAGGAAGGCAAGAGUCCUUAAAUAGCAAAAUUAUUUAUGUGGACACUUCACUGAACAGCGUUAACACUCAACACGAUAGGUUUUCUCAUUUGGGUCGAGUUGGUGUCCUCGUAAGGAUGCUGAGGAAUGACUCCCGAAGUUGCUUUCGGAUUGGUGGUUUAGGGAUAAAGCAAGAAUGCUUUGGUUACAUGUUAUUAGAGCUCACUUGGAAGGAAAAGAAUGAGAAGCUUUUCAAAGAUAAGUUAAAUGCCAUUCACAAGCCUAUUUGUAAUUACUCUUAUCUUUUCUAUCAACUUAGAUUGGAGGCAUUUUGUUUGAUCCUCUUAGGCAUGAGAAUAUCUUGUAGAUUGGUUUGUCGUUUUGAAAUUGAUGGUGGGAGCACGAGUUUUAGAUGUGUAAUCUUUACCCUUUUGUUGAGUUGAUCAUUUAUUGGCUCAAAAACCUUGACUAAUUUGGUGAAUGACAAUCUUAUUCCUUUGGCCAAUUUUUUGUUUUAGCUAUACCACUACUCACCUCAUUUCGGUUGAGUACUAGCAAAAAUACCUUAUCUUUUGUUUAUUAUGGUCUUCAUCAUAGAUUUAGACAUUUUUUUGAUACUAACAAGGCUAGGUUCCUCUAAAGAGCUAUCGAUCAAUGUUACACCUUGAAGUUCAUAUUGAUUUAUUUUUUAUCCAUGCAUAUGAAUUUAUUUUUUCAUUGAUGAGUGAACUGCAAGGAGUUUAGUGGGCUCCAAAUACCAAAAGGUGAAUUACAAAAGUGCUGUCCAAUUAGAAAUCAAAGAAGAUAGACUAUAAUCUCUUAAAGGGUGUCUAUGUUUGCACUUAUACAAAGCACGAAAUAAAAUCAAAUCCUGCACUGAGAAUACGUGUGUUCCUCUUGU
Long non-coding RNA from Cucurbita pepo subsp. pepo (vegetable marrow), 1043 nucleotides. RefSeq lists it as uncharacterized. The record is from RefSeq and is a predicted model, not a curated record. Lineage: Eukaryota; Viridiplantae; Streptophyta; Magnoliopsida; Cucurbitales; Cucurbitaceae.